GCUCAAUGAGGUAGUGGUAGCCUGGGUCGUUGUGUUAAGUUCGUCGCGAAUCGACCCGCUGGGGGUUCAAUUCCCCUUUGAUGCA
This is a non-coding RNA of Armillaria nabsnona, 85 nucleotides long. Lineage: Eukaryota; Fungi; Basidiomycota; Agaricomycetes; Agaricales; Physalacriaceae. The record is from the annotation of a GenBank genome assembly.